RNAcentral lists this ribosomal RNA (637 nucleotides) under uncultured archaeon. RNAcentral's name for it is "bacterial SSU rRNA". It matches the Rfam family "Archaeal small subunit ribosomal RNA", at positions 241 to 879 of the family's 1478-position model. The record is from RNAcentral.
GCAACGGCUCACCANGCCNAUNACCGGUACNGGGCCGUGNGAGCGGGAGCCCGGAGAUGGGUACUGAGACAAGGGCCCAGNNCCUACGGGGCGCAGCAGUUGCGAANACUUGUCAAUGCACGAAAGUGUGAACGGGCUACCCCGAGUGCCGUCCGCUGAGGAUGGCUUUUCUCUGCUGUAAGAAGGCGGAGGAAUAAGGAGAGGGCAAGUCUGGUGUCAGCCGCCGCGGUAAUACCAGCUCUCCGAGUGGUAGGGAUGAUUAUUGGGCCUAAAGCGUUCGUAGCCGGCCUUCCAAGUCUUUCGUUAAAUCCAGCGAUUCAAUCGUUGGACUGCGGGAGAUACUGUUAGGCUAGGGGGCGGGAGAAGCCGACGGUAUUUCUGGGGUAGGGGUAAAAUCCUAUAAUCCCAGGAGGACCACCAGUGGCGUAGGCGGUCGGCUAGCACGCGCUCGACGGUGAGGGACGAAAGCUGGGGGAGCAAACCGGAUUAGAUACCCGGGUAGUCCCAGCUGUAAACGAUGCGGGCUAGGUGUUGAAGCGGCUACGAGCCGCUUCAGUGCCGCAGGGAAGCCAUUAAGCCCGCCGCCUGGGGAGUACGGCCGCAAGGCUGAAACUUAAAGGAAUUGGCGGGGGAGCAC